GUGCUUGCUUUGGCAGCACAUAUACUAAAAUUGGAACGAUACAGAGAAGAUUAGCAUGGCCCCUGCACAAGGAUGACAGGCAAAUUCACGAAGCGUUUUU
Small nuclear RNA from Loxodonta africana (African savanna elephant), 100 nucleotides. NCBI's taxonomy places the organism in Eukaryota, Metazoa, Chordata, Mammalia, Proboscidea, Elephantidae. The record is from Ensembl.